Molecule: long non-coding RNA, 1537 nt
Filed under: Homo sapiens (human)
Lineage: Eukaryota; Metazoa; Chordata; Mammalia; Primates; Hominidae
Description: HSALNT0390636
Source: RNAcentral
AAAGAGGAAGGACAGUCUCAGUUUAGUUAGCCUCAGGAAAUUAGCCUCAAGAAAUCAACUAAGAAAAGUGGUAAGAAGGGUUAAGGAAAUCUUAAAAGUUACUGACGAGUUCCUUGCCCAAGAAGCAGUCAGUGGUCUAGUGUGGUCUGGAGAAGAGCUGCUGCUGGGUUUUUAACCAUACGUAGCUUAGCCCUAGGGAACUUGCAACCUCCUUCUUUGGAAGUGAAUCCAACCCAUUUCUUCCCAAAUCCUCUCGCUAAUCCCUGGAUGUUUACUGAAGCUUCUUCAGGGUAUGACUUUCCUGCCUAGAGGAAAAUCAAUAUAUUAUCUAAAUCAGGGCUACCUAUUAAAUGAUGAAAAGAACUCAAAAUAUCUUUCUCCCCACCACCCAAGUAAGAAAGCUCUGUUUUUCUACAGAACCACUAUAUGAGUUCCUUUCAAGCACAGUACAUAUGAGAAAACCAUUGUCGGUUUUUUCCAAAUAAGAAGGUCAAAUAAUUCUAUAAAAGAUUACUGAAUUUCCAAUGCUUUGUGAGAAGUUUCAAUGAACAAGAGUUACAAUUUUAAUACUAACAGAAUUUCAACGAGAAACACAUCCUUUGUUGAUGCACACAAGAUUCCAAAUCGAAGAGCUUUUAGAGGGUGGAAACAAGCCUACUAACGGGUCAUCCUGGGUCAUUAACUCAAAAGUGUAGAAACUAGAAAGAAAUGAUACACUAAAGGUUUGGUGCCUCCUGGAAUUCCUACCUCUACUGGCACAGGGAACAUGACUAUGAGUAUCCAACUAGCCCUGCCUUCCAAGUGUUCAUUGGCUAGAACUGAAUGCAAGCAGAUGAUGUAAGGUUACGUUAAAUAGAAAAGCAGAAACUAUGAAGUCUGAGAGACACCUAAUAAGGGACACACAGUUUCACAUCUGCUUUGUUGCUUAGCGACCAAGUUCAGCUUCAGAAGAUGGAUACCACAGAAUACGACAAUUCCAAAAAGACCUACCUUUGUGGAAUGAUUCAAGCUUCAGAAUUUUUCACGUUUUAUUAUGACUACUGAGGCUUUUUAUCUAUAUCACUUUAAAUAAAUAUGGCAGAGAGAAAAGAGAUUUUUUUUUAAGUGAUGUGACAGGUCUUGGAUUGGCAAGGCUAUUAUCUCCAAAGAGAAAUCUCGUUUCUUUAGUUUCCUUUCACAGGAAAGUACGAGCAAUAAUAAAAAUAUUUCAAAGCAAAUACAUACUUUGAGUCAUUUCCUUCAAACAAAUUAAAACAGAUAAACUUAGAGAUUACAAAAUGGAAUGUUGUCUUUCACAAACGUGUGCACAUUUUCUCCUUUCUUGUUCUAAGUAGAUCUUAAACUUCUUGGAAUCAUAAACUCUUUUGAGUAUAUUGUGAAAACAGAUCUUAUACCCAGAAAGAUAAAUAGGUGAAACUCAAAGCUAUAUACAUUUAUCAGUGCAUCUUCAAGUUCUAAAAGAAAUCAAGGAGGAUUUUUCCCCAUUUAUAAACACUAUUGAGGUUGAUUUUGUAAAAAUAAUUUUUUAUCCUCUUGG